GAAAUGCGAUAAGUAAUGUGAAUUGCAGAAUUCAGUGAAUCAUCGAAUCUUUGAACGCACCUUGCGCUCCUUGGUAUUCCGAGGAGCAUGCCUGUUUGAGUGUCAUGGAAUUCUCAACUCUAUUUGCUUUUGUGAAUAGAGCUUGGAUUUGGAGGUUUAUUGCUGGUACUUGUGAUCGACUCCUCUUGAAUGCAUUAGCUCGAACCUUUGCGGAUCAGCUAUCGGUGUGAUAAUUGUCUACGCCGUUGCAGUGAAGCAUAUCAAUGGGCUCGGCUUCCAAUCGUCCUUUACUGGACAAUGACUUUGACCUUUGACCUCAAAUCAGGUAGGAUUACCCGCUGAACUUAAGC
Molecule: unclassified non-coding RNA, 350 nt
Filed under: plant metagenome
Description: partial contains 5.8S ribosomal RNA, internal transcribed spacer 2, and large subunit ribosomal RNA
Rfam family: 5.8S ribosomal RNA (bases 1-105)
Source: RNAcentral